UCAGGUGUCAGGUGUGGGCACCAGGGUCAGGUGUCAGGUGUGGGCAGCGGUGUUAAGGGUCAGAUGUAGAUGCUGGGCUCAGGUGUGGGCACUAGGGUCCAGAGCAGAUGCUACGGUCAGGUAUGGGCACCAGUUCAGGCAUGGUGUGGGACACGCAGGGUCUGGAUGGCUGGGGCACCGGGAGUAUGGCAGCUCCUGGGCAUGAGGUAGGGGAAGGACUGUGGGAGUGGGUGCCUGUCGGGCCCACUGCAGCUUUCUCCUGUGGGCUCAGCACAGAUCUUGGAAUGAUGACAGGAGCGUCCCAGAGGCCCCAGGCGGCCCAGCAGGGGCUCUGUGAGUGGUGGCGUAUGGGGCGUGGGCGGAGGGCACGCCCUGGGCUUUACACGCAGGCCACGGUGUCCGGGCGUGUGGGUCGUCCGGCUCCUCACCAGCCCUCUCGACACAUGGCUGGCGCCUCUCCUUGCCACGGUCUCAUUUAGUGGAGCAGCGGGGGAGACCUCGUGAGUCCGAAAGCGUUUGUAUUCCGCUGUCCGUGGGACCAGCUUCCUUCAGGCUCUGGAGGUGCUGCUGGUUGCCUUCCGGCCCAGCGUUGCCGCGAGACAGGUGGCUUGGCUCGGACUCGCUUCCUCUCUGCCCCGCGCGCUCUGGGGUUUCUGGGUGACAGACCCGGUGUGUCUGUUUUGCCAAUGGUGCCGAGUGUGGGGCUCUGUCAGGUGGUUUCCUGGAUUACGGGGUGGGGGGUCAGGUAGUGCGUGCACAUUCCCCGGCCCUCGCCGCCCCAGUGCCCGUGGCCUCUGUGACUCCAGCCAUCCCGAAAUUGGGCCUCCUCCUGGGCCUGGGAUUUCCUCCUUGCCCCACUUCAGGGCUGGAGCCCUCUCUCCGGGGACGUUGGUAGUGGACUUGGGUUUGGGGGUGUUUCUUGCCCCUGCGCUGCUUGCUCCUCCAGACUGUGUCCUCCCUGGUUCCAGCCUCACCUGUCUUCCCUGUUAGAGGCCACGGGCGUUCUGUGACACUUCAUGUUGGCCGGGUUUUGGGCCCGAGGGCUCUGUCUUGUGGGUGUGGCCCUUUGGCCUGAGCUUUCUGGGGGGGCUGGGUCUACCUGGGUCUUCUGCGUGCUGGGAGCCCCCAUGUCCCCAUCUCUCUGAGUUUGCUUUGGGGUCAGGUUCCAUGGAGAACACAUCCAGUCCCCGCCUGGGCAGGCUGGGAGCUGACUCAGGGCCGGGGCUCUGUGCUCAGGGUGCAGAUGUUCGCUUGGCCUCUGUUUGCACGUGUUGUCCCCUUCCCCAGGCUGAGACCCUCCAGCUGUCCCGAAUCACCCCUACUCUUGUGAAGGUUGGGAGGGGCGCUUGCCCAGAAGUGGGGGAGGGGGUCGGUCUAGGGAUCCUGUUGUUUCUCAGCCGGCUUCCUUAUUACAGCUCCCUCACCCACACACUCUGACACGCUCAGCACCCCUGCACACACACACACACCUGCUUGUGCACACCCCACGUGUGGUGUGGACAUUCCACGCCCUGCAGGCCUCUCCCUCAGCUGGCUGAGGACGGCACUCGGGUUUGCCACGUGGGCCCCAUGGGGCUUCUGGGGCGUCUGUAUUUCUCUCCACAGCCAGAGCCCUGGUUGGACAAGCGCUCGUGGGUGCUGGGCUUCAGGCGCCUGCAGGCAGUGGGGGGCCUCCCUGGUCUCCUGCUGAGCCCUGGCCUUCGGGACGGCCGGGCCCCCGUGGGCCCCCGUGGGCCCCCGUGGGCAGGGUGUGAUCUGGCUGAGCAGAGACGCUAUGAGCUCCCACACGAGGCUGGGGCUGUGCUCUCCAGGAGCGCAGAUCGGUGUGCUGUGGUUGGGAGAUGGCCUGAUGCCUCAGCCAGUGCACACGUGGUGGCCGGGCCCCGGAUGGCCGCUGAAGGGAAUUUGGGGUGGUUCACAGGCACGUUUUUAGUUUCCCUUCAGUCUCAUCUGCUUAGCUGGAGCUGGUACGUUGGCUUGGGGUGGUGGAGGCACGGGGCGCCUGCUCGUACCCCGCAGGAGGCCAGGGCCUGGCUCUGGGGCUGCAGCGUCCCCCCAGAUGGCACACAAGUUGAAGGACCUUGUAACAUCUAGAGCCCCUGAUUUAGGACUCUGAGUCUUGACCUUCGAUAUUUGAAAGAAGAUAUUUUGCAUUCAUGUGCUUUGAUGCAGGUGACCUGAAACCAGAGUGACGGCAGCAGCGGCAGGACUGUCCGGGGAGAGGGUCACGCGUGGCAGCGUGGCCCGGGCCACUCCGAGUGGGCCUCACAGCCUGGCUUCCUGUCAUCCCCAGCAUUGUGUGGUGGCUCACCCCUGACCGAGGUGGCGGGCGACACCCCUUUUGGGGCCACGUGGCUGAUGCUCAGAGUGCAGACUUUAAAAAAUUCAAAAAGCCUUUGUUCCCUUGAUUAUGAAGACGAAGAGGAGGAUGACACCCAAGUGAAGCUGGCCCCGUAUGCCCCACACGGCCCCACGGGCACCGUCACGCCCGGCUCCAGCCCGCUGAGCAUGUGCCCCAGACCCUGCCGCACCGGCCCCGGCCCGUGGGCCUCCUGGGAGCCCAUGGCCGCUGAGGGUGAGGGCGGGAGUGGCAGCGACCCCAGUGACUGGGAGAGCGCUGGGGAGGAGGGGGCCUUCCCUCCCGGCCGCGGCGAGCUGGACCUGGGGCAGAUCGAGAGCAACUGACCCCCAGCAGGGGGUCGGGGGCCCGGGGCCCCUGCCCCCAGUUUCUUCCCGGCGCACGGACAGGAGCUGGGCUACGCAGAACUUUGAACAUCAGGUGUAAUUUUGAUCCAAUCUUUCCUAAAGAAGUGUUUUGGAUUUUUGUGGCUUUUACAGUUCUGGAGAAAGCUGCUGUAUUUUGAACGAAUUUUCGGAAGGGCGUUCUACGGAACGGGAGCCUGCGGGCCAAUCCCACCGCAGGUGUGUGUUCCUUUUCUGAAACCCCUGCUGUGCAGGGCGCGGGGGUCCGUGAGUGCUGAGCAGCCGGCCUGCCGCUGCCCGUCUCCUUCGGAGCGCCAGGCGGUGGGUACCUGUGCUCAGGAGCUCUGGGAUGCUGGUCCUGGCGGCACCUGGUCUGACCUCAAUAAAAGGCGUUUGCUUCCCCG
Long non-coding RNA from Leptonychotes weddellii (Weddell seal), 3107 nucleotides. RefSeq lists it as uncharacterized. The record is from RefSeq and is a predicted model, not a curated record. NCBI's taxonomy places the organism in Eukaryota, Metazoa, Chordata, Mammalia, Carnivora, Phocidae.